UAGGGAAUCUUCGGCAAUGGACGAAAGUCUGACCGAGCAACGCCGCGUGAGUGAAGAAGGUUUUCGGAUCGUAAAACUCUGUUGUUAGAGAAGAACAAGGACGUUAGUAACUGAACGUCCCCUGACGGUAUCUAACCAGAAAGCCACGGCUAACUACGUGCCAGCAGCCGCGGUAAUACGUAGGUGGCAAGCGUUGUCCGGAUUUAUUGGGCGUAAAGCGAGCGCAGGCGGUUUCUUAAGUCUGAUGUGAAAGCUCCCGGCUCAACCGGGGAGGGUCAUUGGAAACUGGGAGACUUGAGUGCAGAAGAGGAGAGUGGAAUUCCAUGUGUAGCGGUGAAAUGCGUAGAUAUAUGGGGGAACACCAGUGGCGAAGGCGGCUCUCUGGUCUGUAACUGACGCUGAGGCUCGAAAGCGUGGGGAGCAAACAGA
Molecule: ribosomal RNA, 429 nt
Filed under: Gemmatimonadota bacterium
Lineage: Bacteria; Pseudomonadati; Gemmatimonadota
Description: Gemmatimonadetes bacterium partial 16S ribosomal RNA
Rfam family: Bacterial small subunit ribosomal RNA
Source: RNAcentral